AAGGGAGACCUAAUUCAGGUAGGAGACGAAAAAAAAGUAGUCGCUACCAAGAAUCAAUCCCAAAAGGUCGGAGCGAGGCGAAAUUGGCUUUCAAACUAGGUUCUGGGUUCACACAAGACCUGAAUCAGGAACAAGGGCUAUUAGCUCAGGUGGUUAGAGCGCACCCCUGAUAAGGGUGAGGUCCCUGGUUCGAGUCCAGGAUGGCCCACCUGUACAGGUGGCAAAAAGAAGAGAAACGAGGAAUCAGCACCUUAUCUUACUUACAUAGUAAGAGAGAAUGCUGGCUCUGAGUAAAGAGUCCAGAGGAACCUUGAAAACUGCAUAGAGCUAGGUGAAAAAGCCAAAAAAGAAGACCGCAA
RNAcentral lists this transfer RNA (359 nucleotides) under uncultured Microcystis sp. RNAcentral's name for it is "partial 16S-23S ribosomal RNA intergenic spacer". The stretch from base 135 to 208 matches the Rfam family "tRNA". Lineage: Bacteria; Bacillati; Cyanobacteriota; Cyanophyceae; Chroococcales; Microcystaceae. The record is from RNAcentral.